AGAGUUUGAUCCUGGCUCAGGAUGAACGCUAGCGGGAGGCUUAACACAUGCAAGUCGAGGGGUAACGAAUUUUAACUUCGGUUAAAAAGGCGACGACCGGCGCACGGGUGCGUAACGCGUAUACAACUUGCCCUUAACAGGAGGAUAGCUCAGGGAAACCUGGAUUAAUACUCCAUAGUCCUGUAGUGCCGCAUGGUAUAUCAGGUAAAACUCCGGUGGUUAAGGAUGGGUAUGCGUGACAUUAGCUAGAUGGUGAGGUAACGGCUCACCAUGGCAACGAUGUCUAGGGGUUCUGAGAGGAUGAUCCCCCACACUGGUACUGAGACACGGACCAGACUCCUACGGGAGGCAGCAGUGAGGAAUAUUGGUCAAUGGGCGCAAGCCUGAACCAGCCAUCCCGCGUGAAGGAAGACGGCUCUACGAGUUGUAAACUUCCUUUCUAAAGGAAGAAAUGUUCAUACGUGUAUGAAUUUGCCUGUACUUUAGGAAUAAGCAUCGGCUAACUCCGUGCCAGCAGCCGCGGUAAUACGGAGGAUGCAAGCGUUAUCCGGAUUUAUUGGGUUUAAAGGGUGCGUAGGCGGGCGUUUAAGUCAGUGGUGAAAUCCUGCAGCUUAACUGUAGAAUUGCCAUUGAAACUGAAUGUCUUGAGUGCGGUUGAGGUAAGCGGAAUGUGUAGUGUAGCGGUGAAAUGCUUAGAGAUUACACAGAACACCGAUUGCGUAGGCAGCUUACUAAGCCGUAACUGACGCUGAGGCACGAAAGCGUGGGUAGCGAACAGGAUUAGAUACCCUGGUAGUCCACGCCGUAAACGAUGAUAACUAGCUGUUUGCGAUACACAGUGAGCGGCAAAGCGAAAGCAUUAAGUUAUCCACCUGGGGAGUACGGUCGCAAGAUUGAAACUCAAAGGAAUUGACGGGGGCCCGCACAAGCGGAGGAACAUGUGGUUUAAUUCGAUGAUACGCGAGGAACCUUACCUGGGCUUAAAUGUAGAGUGCAUAAGUGGGAAACUGCUUUUUCCUUCGGGACUCUUUACAAGGUGCUGCAUGGUUGUCGUCAGCUCGUGCCGUGAGGUGUCGGGUUAAGUCCCAUAACGAGCGCAACCCCUAUCGUAGUUGCCAGCGAGUCAUGUCGGGGACUCUAACGAGACUGCCGGUGUAAACCGAGAGGAAGGUGGGGAUGACGUCAAAUCAGCACGGCCCUUACGUCCAGGGCUACACGUGUUACAAUGGUCGGUACAGAGGGCUGCUACACAGUGAUGUGAUGCUAAUCUCGAAAGCCGAUCUCAGUUCGGAUCGGAGUCUGCAACUCGACUCCGUGAAGGUGGAUUCGCUAGUAAUCGCAUAUCAGCCAUGAUGCGGUGAAUACGUUCCCGGGCCUUGUACACACCGCCCGUCAAGCCAUGGAAGCUGGGGGUACCUGAAGUCUGUCACCGUAAGGAGCGGCCUAGGGUAAAACUAGUAACUGGGGCUAAGUCGUAACAAGGUA
RNAcentral lists this ribosomal RNA (1485 nucleotides) under metagenome. Its description in RNAcentral is "bacterial SSU rRNA". It matches the Rfam family "Bacterial small subunit ribosomal RNA". The record is from RNAcentral.